AAAUUGAAGAGUUUGAUCAUGGCUCAGAUUGAACGCUGGCGGCAGGCCUAACACAUGCAAGUCGAACGGUAACAGGAAGCAGCUUGCUGCUUCGCUGACGAGUGGCGGACGGGUGAGUAAUGUCUGGGAAACUGCCUGAUGGAGGGGGAUAACUACUGGAAACGGUGGCUAAUACCGCAUAACGUCGCAAGACCAAAGAGGGGGACCUUCGGGCCUCUUGCCAUCAGAUGUGCCCAGAUGGGAUUAGCUUGUUGGUGAGGUAACGGCUCACCAAGGCGACGAUCCCUAGCUGGUCUGAGAGGAUGACCAGCCACACUGGAACUGAGACACGGUCCAGACUCCUACGGGAGGCAGCAGUGGGGAAUAUUGCACAAUGGGCGCAAGCCUGAUGCAGCCAUGCCGCGUGUAUGAAGAAGGCCUUCGGGUUGUAAAGUACUUUCAGCGGGGAGGAAGGUGUUGUGGUUAAUAACCGCAGCAAUUGACGUUACCCGCAGAAGAAGCACCGGCUAACUCCGUGCCAGCAGCCGCGGUAAUACGGAGGGUGCAAGCGUUAAUCGGAAUUACUGGGCGUAAAGCGCACGCAGGCGGUCUGUCAAGUCGGAUGUGAAAUCCCCGGGCUCAACCUGGGAACUGCAUUCGAAACUGGCAGGCUUGAGUCUUGUAGAGGGGGGUAGAAUUCCAGGUGUAGCGGUGAAAUGCGUAGAGAUCUGGAGGAAUACCGGUGGCGAAGGCGGCCCCCUGGACAAAGACUGACGCUCAGGUGCGAAAGCGUGGGGAGCAAACAGGAUUAGAUACCCUGGUAGUCCACGCCGUAAACGAUGUCUACUUGGAGGUUGUGCCCUUGAGGCGUGGCUUCCGGAGCUAACGCGUUAAGUAGACCGCCUGGGGAGUACGGCCGCAAGGUUAAAACUCAAAUGAAUUGACGGGGGCCCGCACAAGCGGUGGAGCAUGUGGUUUAAUUCGAUGCAACGCGAAGAACCUUACCUGGUCUUGACAUCCACAGAAGAAUCCAGAGAUGGAUUUGUGCCUUCGGGAACUGUGAGACAGGUGCUGCAUGGCUGUCGUCAGCUCGUGUUGUGAAAUGUUGGGUUAAGUCCCGCAACGAGCGCAACCCUUA
This 1117-nucleotide ribosomal RNA is filed under the name Salmonella enterica subsp. enterica serovar Enteritidis. RNAcentral describes it as "bacterial SSU rRNA". It matches the Rfam family "Bacterial small subunit ribosomal RNA", at positions 1 to 1107 of the family's 1533-position model. The record is from RNAcentral. Lineage: Bacteria; Pseudomonadati; Pseudomonadota; Gammaproteobacteria; Enterobacterales; Enterobacteriaceae.